Molecule: ribosomal RNA, 24 nt
Filed under: Hindakia tetrachotoma
Lineage: Eukaryota; Viridiplantae; Chlorophyta; Trebouxiophyceae; Chlorellales; Chlorellaceae
Description: partial 28S ribosomal RNA
Source: RNAcentral
UCGACUCGGGUUCCCACGGACCGU